Molecule: ribosomal RNA, 508 nt
Filed under: uncultured bacterium
Lineage: Bacteria
Description: bacterial SSU rRNA
Rfam family: Bacterial small subunit ribosomal RNA
Source: RNAcentral
AUGAACGCUAGCGGCAGGCCUAACACAUGCAAGUCGAGGGGCAGCACGUAAAGUAAUUUAUUACUUUUGGUGGCGACCGGCGCACGGGUGCGUAACGCGUAUGCAACCUACCUAUAACAGGGGGAUAAUCUGGAGAAAUUCGGUCUAAUACCCCAUAACAUAUUUUGAGGCAUCUUAAGAUAUUAAAAACUCCGGUGGUUAUAGAUGGGCAUGCGUUGUAUUAGCUAGUUGGUACGGUAACGGCGUACCAAGGCUACGAUACAUAGGGGGACUGAGAGGUUAACCCCCCACACUGGUACUGAGACACGGACCAGACUCCUACGGGAGGCAGCAGUGAGGAAUAUUGGUCAAUGGACGCAAGUCUGAACCAGCCAUGCCGCGUGCAGGAUGACGGCUCUACGAGUUGUAAACUGCUUUUGUACGAGGGUAAACUUGGGUACGUGUACCCAACUGAAAGUAUCGUACGAAUAAGGAUCGGCUAACUCCGUGCCAGCAGCCGCAGUAACAC